AUUUCGUUAAAGUAAUGUCAAGAUUUCUCACUUUGAUAUAGAUGAUAUUUGACCGAGAUGUCGUACCUCAUUACUAUCAUAGAAUACGUAAGCCCUCAUAAAUUGUGGCAAUUGGGUAUAGUCAACGAGUGGAGUGUGAUGAGAAAUCAUGAAAAGGACAACUCGACUCAUAUUCGUCGUAUAAAUUAGGGUUUGUUUUACGGGUGGAGUGAAGCGAGCAAAUCUUAGUCUCAUAUAACGACGUGACAGAACUUGACUUGAAUGAGAUGAGUCCCCAUUUAGUUGACACGGCGAGUCACUUCAUUUGAGUCGAGUAUUGUCACCUCGCUACACGAGACCGAGCUCUCACCUUGGUUCACUCUUAGAAUACAUAAACUCGCCUCAUUAGAGUUGAAUUUUGUCACUUAUACGGUAAGACCCAGAUGUCUCGUCUCAUUCCACUCCUAGAAUAAAAUCAAAUACAACAUGACGCAUCUUGAGCAAGUCGAUAAAUGAAUAGUUUGUCUAGAAUAGUUCGAUUUGCGGAACGUUUCGCAAGAGCUAUAAAUAUGAUAUUUCGAAGAAAUUGCAGAAAUAUGCCAACGGUACGCUUAGGCAAGCGAUUUUCAUAGAUUAACCUGCCCUUUUUACUUGUUUGCCAAGUCGUUGGUGAUUGAGAUGGAAAAGGUUAUCCCAGGUCUCAUUUUGAGCAGUGUUGAUUGAGACACACUCAAAUGUAAGUCAAUGAGUUUUCCCGCGAGAG
Aedes aegypti (yellow fever mosquito) is the source of this 742-nucleotide long non-coding RNA. RefSeq lists it as uncharacterized. The record is from RefSeq and is a predicted model, not a curated record. The transcript has 3 exons. NCBI's taxonomy places the organism in Eukaryota, Metazoa, Arthropoda, Insecta, Diptera, Culicidae.